Molecule: ribosomal RNA, 1021 nt
Filed under: Rhamphoriopsis aquimicrospora
Lineage: Eukaryota; Fungi; Ascomycota; Sordariomycetes; Rhamphoriaceae
Description: SSU rRNA
Rfam family: Eukaryotic small subunit ribosomal RNA
Source: RNAcentral
AUUAUACCGCGAAACUGCGAAUGGCUCAUUAAAUCAGUUAUCGUUUAUUUGAUAGUACCUUACUACUUGGAUAACCGUGGUAAUUCUAGAGCUAAUACAUGCUGAAAAUCCCGACUUCGGAAGGGAUGUAUUUAUUAGAUUAAAAACCAAUGCCCUCUGGGCUCAGUGGUGAUUCAUAAUAACUUCUCGAAUCGCACGGCCUUGCGCCGGCGAUGGUUCAUUCAAAUUUCUGCCCUAUCAACUUUCGACGGCUGGGUAUUGGCCAGCCAUGGUGACAACGGGUAACGGAGGGUUAGGGCUCGACCCCGGAGAAGGAGCCUGAGAAACGGCUACUACAUCCAAGGAAGGCAGCAGGCGCGCAAAUUACCCAAUCCCAAUUCGGGGAGGUAGUGACAAUAAAUACUGAUACAGGGCUCUUUUGGGUCUUGUAAUUGGAAUGAGUACAAUUUAAAUCCCUUAACGAGGAACAAUUGGAGGGCAAGUCUGGUGCCAGCAGCCGCGGUAAUUCCAGCUCCAAUAGCGUAUAUUAAAGUUGUUGCGGUUAAAAAGCUCGUAGUUGAAACUUGGGCCUAGCUGGCCGGUCCGCCUCACCGCGUGCACUGGUCCGGCCGGGCCUUUCCCUCUGGGGAACCGCAUGCCCUUCACUGGGCGUGUCGGGGAACCAGGACUUUUACUUUGAAAAAAUUAGAGUGUUCAAAGCAGGCCUAUGCUCGAAUACAUUAGCAUGGAAUAAUAGAAUAGGACGUCGCGGUUCUAUUUUGUUGGUUUCUAGGACCGCCGUAAUGAUUAAUAGGGACAGUCGGGGGCAUCAGUAUUCAAUUGUCAGAGGUGAAAUUCUUGGAUUUAUUGAAGACUAACUACUGCGAAAGCAUUUGCCAAGGAUGUUUUCAUUAAUCAGGAACGAAAGUUAGGGGAUCGAAGACGAUCAGAUACCGUCGUAGUCUUAACCAUAAACUAUGCGAACUAGGGAUCGGACGAUGUUAUUUUUUGACUCGUUCGGCACCUUACACGAAAGUACAAG